This 320-nucleotide unclassified non-coding RNA is filed under the name uncultured Russulaceae. Its description in RNAcentral is "sequence contains ITS2". Lineage: Eukaryota; Fungi; Basidiomycota; Agaricomycetes; Russulales; Russulaceae. The record is from RNAcentral.
AACGCACCUUGCGCCCCUUGGUAUUCCGAGGGGCACACCCGUUUGAGUGUCGUGAAAUUCUCAAACCUUCUUGGUUUCUUGAUCAAGAUGGCUUUGGACUUUGGAGGCAUUUGCUGGCUUUGCGAAGAGCCAGCUCCUCUUGAAUGCAUUAGUGGGGUCCCCUUUGCCGAUCCCCAGGCGUGAUAAGAUGUUUCUACGUCUUGGGAUUUGCUCUGCUCCUUGGGAACCUGCUUCUAACCGUCUCAUGGAAGACAUCGUUCGAGCUUGCUCGACCCACGAACCUUGACCUCAAAUCGGGUGAGACUACCCGCUGAACUUAA